This 428-nucleotide ribosomal RNA is filed under the name Comamonas aquatica. Its description in RNAcentral is "bacterial SSU rRNA". It matches the Rfam family "Bacterial small subunit ribosomal RNA", at positions 445 to 871 of the family's 1533-position model. The record is from RNAcentral. Lineage: Bacteria; Pseudomonadati; Pseudomonadota; Betaproteobacteria; Burkholderiales; Comamonadaceae.
AAGACCCGGGUUAAUACCCGGGGGCCAUGACGGUACCGUAAGAAUAAGCACCGGCUAACUACGUGCCAGCAGCCGCGGUAAUACGUAGGGUGCAAGCGUUAAUCGGAAUUACUGGGCGUAAAGCGUGCGCAGGCGGUUUUGUAAGACAGAUGUGAAAUCCCCGGGCUCAACCUGGGAACUGCAUUUGUGACUGCAAGGCUAGAGUACGGCAGAGGGGGAUGGAAUUCCGCGUGUAGCAGUGAAAUGCGUAGAUAUGCGGAGGAACACCGAUGGCGAAGGCAAUCCCCUGGGCCUGUACUGACGCUCAUGCACGAAAGCGUGGGGAGCAAACAGGAUUAGAUACCCUGGUAGUCCACGCCCUAAACGAUGUCAACUGGUUGUUGGGUCUUCACUGACUCAGUAACGAAGCUAACGCGUGAAGUUGACCG